Molecule: transfer RNA, 68 nt
Filed under: Prorhinotermes simplex
Lineage: Eukaryota; Metazoa; Arthropoda; Insecta; Blattodea; Rhinotermitidae
Also listed under: 1 other name
Description: tRNA-Met
Source: RNAcentral
AGAAAAGUAAGCUAAAUAAAGCUAAUGGGUUCAUACCCCAUAAAUAGAGCAAAGUUCUCUCUCUUCUA